UGGCAGCAGCGAUGUGAUGGCAGCAGCGAAUAAUGGCAGCGGCGAGUGAUGAUAGCAGCGACUGAUGGCAGCAGCGACUGAUGGCAGCAGCGAUUGAUGGCAGCGAUGUGAUGGAGUUGACGUAGCAAAAUUGGACACUUGGCGACACUAUAUAUUUACGGGGUUUGGUAGCGGCACUGGAAGCGCCGAGACUAUUUCGAACCACUUGGUGUUAUUAACGUGAAACACACUGUACCGCACCUUCUUCACGUCACGUAUACGCGUAUAUAUGUAUGUAUAUUUAGAUUUACAAAGGAUGUCGCUUGGCGCAA
This is a long non-coding RNA of Bactrocera neohumeralis, 311 nucleotides long. RefSeq lists it as uncharacterized. The record is from RefSeq and is a predicted model, not a curated record. The transcript has 3 exons. NCBI's taxonomy places the organism in Eukaryota, Metazoa, Arthropoda, Insecta, Diptera, Tephritidae.